AACGCAUUCAGUGGGAAUUUAAUCCGCCGUCUGCAUCACACUUUGGAGGAGUAUGGGAACGCCUUAUUAGAUCAGUGCGUAAGGUAUUCUAUUCAGUCAUGCACGAACAGAACAUUCGACUAACUGAUGAAGGACUUAUGACUCUAUUCUGUGAAGUAGAAAGUAUUCUUAAUGGACGUCCGAUCACAGAAGCGUCAGAUAGUAUCACAGACUUAAAUGUAUUGACUCCGAAUCACUUGAUACUUCAACGUGCGGGUGAAAGCUUUCCACCUGGUGUGUUCUCUAAGACAGACAGCUAUGUCAGAAGGCGAUGGAGACAAAUCCAGUAUCUCGCUGAUUUAUUUUGGACUAGAUGGCGAAAGGAAUACUUACCUCUAUUGCAGCGCAGAACAAAAUGGACAAAACCGACAAGAAAUAUGCAAGUAGGAGACAUAGUUCUCAUUUCCGACAAUGCACCGAGAAAUUCGUGGAACAUGGCUCGUGUGAUUGAACUAAUCAAAGACAAGGACAAUGUUGUUAGAAUUGUCAAAGUGAAAACCGCAAAUUCUGUGUUAACGAGACCAAUUGCGAAACUGUGUCUUCUUGUAGAAAGUGACUAAAAACCCACAGCUGCCACCAAACUCGUGGAUAUGAUAGACAUUUAUUGAACAUUAUGAUAUAAUUGUCCUUUUGAUUUAUUUUUGAUAAUUGCGUUCUAGUUAAGAACCCAAUUUAGGGGCUGGUAUGUAAAGGCCAAUUUCUUGUUUUGAAUUUCGUUUUGCUAAUUUAUUAAUUUUUGAUGAAACUAACCUAGGUACAUUGGUUACUUUCCCCAUCAUAUUUUUCCCUGAAAAUUGAGAAACGUGUCACGACAAUUUUGAACCCUUUAAUUUUGAAUUAUAUAGAAAUAUCAGAGUCAACAAAUAAGUCAAUCUCAUCUUACUGUUUAUACUUUGGAUCCAGUCACUUCACUGUAACUUGGAAUAUUUUGGAAUAAACUUGAGGUGUGAA
Molecule: long non-coding RNA, 990 nt
Organism: Mytilus trossulus (common blue mussel)
Lineage: Eukaryota; Metazoa; Mollusca; Bivalvia; Mytilida; Mytilidae
Exons: 2
Source: RefSeq, a predicted model, not a curated record